GCCCGAUGAACCUGAAUAUCCAUUAUGGAAAAUUCAUCAUUAAAGUUAUAAUAUUUAAAUAAUAUUAUAGAAAUAGUGUGCAUUUUUUCCAUAUAAGGACAUUGUAAUCUAUUAACAUAUCUAAUUUAUCAUAAAAUAUGACUUAUAGUUUAUUCAAAUUAUUAUGCUUGCAUUUUAACAUAGGAUAAAUGUCAUUAAUUUGAUAAAGUGUUGAUAGAUUAAUAAGAAUACAGUGCGUUAAUUUUUCGGAAUUAUAUAAUGGCAUAAUUAUCAUUGAUUUUUGUGUUUAUUAUAUGCACUUGUAUGAUUAACAAUGCGAAAGAUUCAGGAUACUUCGGG
Molecule: ribosomal RNA, 339 nt
Filed under: Drosophila malerkotliana
Lineage: Eukaryota; Metazoa; Arthropoda; Insecta; Diptera; Drosophilidae
Description: eukaryotic LSU rRNA
Source: RNAcentral